UGAUUAUCUGAAUUCAAGAAAUUGUCUUGGGAAGGGAUAUAAAGCCCCGCUACAUAUAAAUAUGAUUCCAGAAUAUCAAAUUCAUUUUGAUAAGUGUAUUCAAACCUUAAAAUCUUUAAGGUUAACAAAUGGUGAAUACGUUUAUAAAUCUUCAAAAAAAACAUGUGUAGAGGGGCUUAUUCUUUCCAUGACAAGUAUCCUGAAAAAGGAGUUAUUAAUUGGAGAAAAUCCUAAAAUGAAGUUCUUUUUAACGUAUAAAACAUCACAAGAUCAUUUAGAAUUAUAUUUUUGUAGUAUUCGUAGCGGGAGUGGAUUUAAUGAUAAUCCAUCAGCUUAUCAACUACAAUCUGCUGUUCGCACUACAUUAAUGGUGAAAUUAGAUCCAACAAUCAUGGGAAAUAGCAUUUCCUUAGAUAAUACACAAGUAUUAUGUUCAAAUUUUCAAAAUAAUCAUGAUAAUGAUGUUAACAUUAUCAAACCUAUAGCCAAUCUAGUACCCAUACCCACCACUUCAUCUUAUUAUUUUAGAAACACAAACCCACAUAUCCCGAAAUUAUCUUUAUAUUUAGAUAAUGUAUCAACUUAUAUAACGGGAUAUAUUGUACACCAACUUAUUAAAGAAAAAAAGCAACGUUGUGAUGUUUGCAUUACAGCAAUGGUUAGUGAUUCUUAUAAUGAUAAUAAUAUCAAUAAUAUGCUAAUAAAUAUUAAAAAUAAUGGGGGGGGGGUUGGUGAUACCUUCUACUAGUAUGUCCAAACUAUGCAGAAUAUGUGAAAGUUCAUUUAGAACUUAUCAAAAUGAAAUCACACAUAAAAAUAUUUUAAAAAAAUGGAAGUAUUAAUUUUUUCCAAAAUAAUAGGCACAAAUCUCUUUAUUGAUCUUUGUGAUCAUAUCAUUGAACAUGAAAUUGGGUACAGCCAUUUUCAAAUUCUUGUAAAAUUAAUUGUUCAAAAAUAUUUAAAUAUUAGAUUUUAUCAUUUUGCUGACUUAAGAAACCAGGAAUUGAGAACUGGUAUGCGACAGAAUCUUACAAAAGCAAUACAAUUUAAUAAUCAAUAAGUGAUGAUAUAAUCAAAAAUGAUGAAAAUGUAC
Long non-coding RNA from Gordionus sp. m RMFG-2023, 1093 nucleotides. RefSeq lists it as uncharacterized. The record is from RefSeq and is a predicted model, not a curated record. The transcript has 5 exons. NCBI's taxonomy places the organism in Eukaryota, Metazoa, Nematomorpha, Gordioida, Chordodea, Parachordodidae.